Molecule: unclassified non-coding RNA, 269 nt
Filed under: Cyphellophora sp.
Lineage: Eukaryota; Fungi; Ascomycota; Eurotiomycetes; Chaetothyriales; Cyphellophoraceae
Description: partial internal transcribed spacer region
Rfam family: Eukaryotic small subunit ribosomal RNA (bases 1-46)
Source: RNAcentral
AAGUCGUAACAAGGUUUCCGUAGGUGAACCUGCGGAAGGAUCAUUACCGAGUUAGGGUACUCUUCGUGCCCGACCUCCAACCCUUUGUCUACCUGACCAGAUGUUGCUUCGGCAGGCCCGCUGCCCCGCGAGGGGUGGCCGCCGGGGGUCCUUAUCGGCCCCGGGUCCGCGCCUGUCGAUGGCCCUCUAUAAACUCUUGCUUAACCGUGUCGUCUGAGUAAAACAAACAAAUAAAAACAAAACUUUCAACAACGGAUCUCUUGGUUCUG